Molecule: long non-coding RNA, 522 nt
Filed under: Bos indicus x Bos taurus (hybrid cattle)
Lineage: Eukaryota; Metazoa; Chordata; Mammalia; Artiodactyla; Bovidae
Description: lncRNA (ENSBIXG00000006423.1)
Source: RNAcentral
ACCCUUCAGCCACUCACUCACUCACUCCUUCCCUCAUUUGUUCAUUCAUUCCUGUCCAGUAACUUCUAAUCCAGAGAUGAGGCCCAUGCCUGGAGCUGAGGCCAGAUGUGGAAGGCUCACAGGAUCCACAAGGGAGCUACUUGUGCAGGGCUCACUCUCGACUCCUUCCCACGGCUCCACAAACCAACGUGUCCAACUCAGCUUUCCAGGGCUUCAUUACAAGGUUACCUGGGCAGAGCAGGGAGAGACCAGAGGAGACAAUGUUUAGCCUGAAUUAGCUAUUUACUGGAGCUGAACAUGGAGUGAAAGAAGUGAGCUACAUAAUGUCUGUCUUGAGCCAACUUCCAACACAAGGGCACUGAGCGGAGAGGUGGCACGGCAAUGUUUCAUCUUCUUGUUAUCGUGAAUUAAAGACUCCAGCAGAAGUCCUUCAUCUGGAAAAUAAUGUCUCGAGGGAGUCUUCAAGUUCAAGAAAGGUAUUUCCAAGAAGAUGUAGGAAUAAAGAAAAGCAGAUGCUGACCA